RNAcentral lists this ribosomal RNA (161 nucleotides) under uncultured bacterium. Its description in RNAcentral is "partial 16S rRNA". It matches the Rfam family "Bacterial small subunit ribosomal RNA", at positions 358 to 511 of the family's 1533-position model. The record is from RNAcentral.
GGAACCUUCGGCAAUGGACGAAAGUCUGACCGAGCAACGCCGCGUGAGUGAAGAAGGUUUUCGGAUCGUAAAACUCUGUCGUUAGAGAAGAACAAGGGUGAGAGUAACUGUUCACCCCUUGACGGUAUCUAACCAGAAAGCCGCGGCUAACUACGUGCCAG